GCGCUGUUAGUGCAGAAGUUAGCAUACUUGCCUCAUAAGCAAGAGACGCGGGUGCGAAUCCCGCACAGCGUA
This is a non-coding RNA of Xylariaceae sp. FL1272, 72 nucleotides long. Lineage: Eukaryota; Fungi; Ascomycota; Sordariomycetes; Xylariales; Xylariaceae. The record is from the annotation of a GenBank genome assembly.